CGGACGGGGGAGUAACGCGUGGGUAACCUGCCUUGUACUGGGGGACGAACAGUUGGAAACGACUGCUAAUACCGCAUAAGCGCACAGCUUCGCAUGAAGCAGUGUGAAAAACUCCGGUGGUACAAGAUGGACCCGCGUCUGAUUAGCUGGUUGGUGAGGUAACGGCCCACCAAGGCGACGAUCAGUAGCCGGCCUGAGAGGGUGAACGGCCACAUUGGGACUGAGACACGGCCCAA
Molecule: ribosomal RNA, 236 nt
Filed under: uncultured bacterium
Lineage: Bacteria
Description: partial 16S ribosomal RNA
Rfam family: Bacterial small subunit ribosomal RNA
Source: RNAcentral